This 919-nucleotide ribosomal RNA is filed under the name uncultured bacterium. RNAcentral describes it as "bacterial SSU rRNA". It matches the Rfam family "Bacterial small subunit ribosomal RNA", at positions 8 to 916 of the family's 1533-position model. The record is from RNAcentral.
AGAGUUUGAUCCUGGCUCAGGAUGAACGCUAGCUACAGGCUUAACACAUGCAAGUCGAGGGGAAACGAUAGAGAAAGCUUGCUUUUUCUAGGCGUCGACCGGCGCACGGGUGAGUAACGCGUAUCCAACCUGCCCACCACUUGGGGAUAACCUUGCGAAAGUAAGACUAAUACCCAAUGAUAUCUCUAGAAGACAUCUGAAAGGGAUUAAAGAUUUAUCGGUGAUGGAUGGGGAUGCGUCUGAUUAGCUUGUUGGUGGGGUAACGGCCCACCAAGGCGACGAUCAGUAGGGGUUCUGAGAGGAAGGUCCCCCACAUUGGAACUGAGACACGGUCCAAACUCCUACGGGAGGCAGCAGUGAGGAAUAUUGGUCAAUGGGCGAGAGCCUGAGCCAGCCAAGUAGCGUGCAGGAUGACGGCCCUAUGGGUUGUAAACUGCUUUUUAUAAGGGAAUAAAGUGAGUCUCGUGAGACUUUUUGCAUGUACCUUAUGAAUAAGGACCGGCUAAUUCCGUGCCAGCAGCCGCGGUAAUACGGAAGGUCCGGGCGUUAUCCGGAUUUAUUGGGUUUAAAGGGAGCGUAGGCCGGAGAUUAAGCGUGUUGUGAAAUGUAGACGCUCAACGUCUGCACUGCAGCGCGAACUGGUUUCCUUGAGUACGCACAAAGUGGGCGGAAUUCGUGGUGUAGCGGUGAAAUGCUUAGAUAUCACGAAGAACUCCGAUUGCGAAGGCAGCUCACUGGAGCGCAACUGACGCUGAAGCUCGAAAGUGCGGGUAUCGAACAGGAUUAGAUACCCUGGUAGUCCGCACGGUAAACGAUGGAUGCCCGCUGUUGGUCUGAAUAGGUCAGCGGCCAAGCGAAAGCAUUAAGCAUCCCACCUGGGGAGUACGCCGGCAACGGUGAAACUCAAAUGAAUUGACGG